This is a long non-coding RNA of Oreochromis niloticus (Nile tilapia), 803 nucleotides long. RefSeq lists it as uncharacterized. The record is from RefSeq and is a predicted model, not a curated record. The transcript has 2 exons. Lineage: Eukaryota; Metazoa; Chordata; Actinopteri; Cichliformes; Cichlidae.
CAUCAGACUUGAAUGUGUGAUCCAGAGUUCAGCGCUGUCAGAUAGAAACCUCAGCAGCACUGCCAGGAGGGCUGCCCCAGAGUAGAAGGUGGUCAUUGAGGCUCUGUACCUGGAACAGGUGUUCAUAGCUCCAAGCUCGAAUUUGACAACAUGGACGUCCCUUUUUACUCUCUGAAUCUCUGCUGUGUAGGUGAGAACCUGCAUUGAUGACUUCAGCAACGGAAGUACUGCCUCCUUAGGUGCAGACAGCAUAGGCAUAUUAGGAGCCCAGGUACUGCAGGGGCUGGCAGGAGGACUUUUUAACAAGUAACAGUAGUAAUUUGGUUUUUGUCAAAGCCACAGAGAGCCACUGGAGUCGGAUUAAAGAGCCACAUGAUCCAGAUAAAGAUUCAGUGUCAGGUCUGACGGUGCCCCGGCCGGCGACCUGUGUGUGUUUGUUCUCUCUCUCUCGCUCUGUUUCUCUCUCCGGCUCCGCUGCGAUUGUUACGCGGUUGCGUAGCAACGGGAGAUCUCCGACCCGGAAGUGCUGCCACUCUGAGCUGUCCCACCUGCGACUGAUUCCUCGCCAGCUGCUGCCAGUCAUCCACCAUCGUUGGCAGAGCUAUUUAAUGGUGUGGCUGAGUGACAGACAGCGCUGGAGUAUUGCACCAAGCCUGGAAACGAACGAGACGGAGAGACGGAAGGAGAGACGUCACUAAAUCACGAGAGUUGUGUGGACACACGAGGGGAGCACUGAAGGGACUUUGCACUGUGGAUAACUGUGGAUUGGCUUCACUGUAAAUAAAGACACUGUUCAACUUUAA